RNAcentral lists this non-coding RNA (92 nucleotides) under Sediminibacillus halophilus. Its description in RNAcentral is "Glycine sequence". It matches the Rfam family "Glycine riboswitch aptamer". From Rfam's summary of the family: This family represents the bacterial glycine riboswitch. Glycine riboswitches usually consist of two metabolite-binding aptamers domains with similar structures in tandem. The aptamers cooperatively bind glycine to regulate the expression of downstream genes. Lineage: Bacteria; Bacillati; Bacillota; Bacilli; Caryophanales; Bacillaceae. The record is from RNAcentral.
AUGAAUAUAAGAGGAGAGACUAUCUAAGAAGAUAGCGCCGAAGGAGCAAGCAUAAUUGUGAAUCUCUCAGGCAAAAAGACUCUUAUAGGACG